AUUUCAUCAUCAUUCCACUUUUAUACAAAUUUUAAAUAAAUGUUUAUUAAACAUUUUUAAGAUUUUGAACUGUUAUGUGUGAAACACAGUUGUGUAGUGUCUCUGAUGCUGUUGGUAAGGUUUAUGUAUUUCUUCACAUUAAAGAAAUUAUUUGAUACUAUUCCAAUUCUACUUGCUAUUACUUCAAAAUAUAGCAAAACAGCCCAAUUGGCAAGUACUAGACAUCGGACCUUUGUUUUGUGUAGCAUUUUCGGACCGAGGACGGUCCCUCAUCAGUGCACAGGUGCAGCGGGUUUCAGAUACAUUAACUAAACAGUUAUCAACAGAGUUGUUUUGCAUUAUUUGGAACAUUCUAAACUUUUGAAUUGUAGUUCCAGAAUCAUUGGACUCCUACAUCAUAUGCACACACAUGAACAGACCAACUCAUUUGCCAUUGGCAACUAAACAUUAAUAUUUCAUAUUAAUGUUUAGUUGUUAAUGGUAAAUGAGUUGGUCUGCGAUAACUGUUUAGUUAAUGUAUCUGAGGUUUGCUGUGCCUGUGUGCUGAUGGGGGACUGUCCUCUGUCUGGGGGUGUUAUACAAAAUAGAGGUCUGAUGUCUAGUACUUGCUAAUUGUGCU
This 619-nucleotide long non-coding RNA is filed under the name Androctonus crassicauda. Lineage: Eukaryota; Metazoa; Arthropoda; Arachnida; Scorpiones; Buthidae. The record is from RNAcentral.